Molecule: ribosomal RNA, 497 nt
Filed under: uncultured bacterium
Lineage: Bacteria
Description: partial 16S ribosomal RNA
Rfam family: Bacterial small subunit ribosomal RNA
Source: RNAcentral
GAUGAACGCUGGCGGCGUGCCUAAUACAUGCAAGUCGAGCGAACGGACGAGAAGCUUGCUUCUCUGAUGUUAGCGGCGGACGGGUGAGUAACACGUGGAUAACCUACCUAUAAGACUGGGAUAACUUCGGGAAACCGGAGCUAAUACCGGAUAAAAUUUUGAACCGCAUGGUUCAAAAGUGAAAGACGGUCUUGCUGUCACUUAUAGAUGGAUCCGCGCUGCAUUAGCUAGUUGGUAAGGUAACGGCUUACCAAGGCAACGAUGCAUAGCCGACCUGAGAGGGUGAUCGGCCACACUGGAACUGAGACACGGUCCAGACUCCUACGGGAGGCAGCAGUAGGGAAUCUUCCGCAAUGGGCGAAAGCCUGACGGAGCAACGCCGCGUGAGUGAAGAAGGUCUUCGGAUCGUAAAACUCUGUUAUUAGGGAAGAACAUAUGUGUAAGUAACUGUGCACAUCUUGACGGUACCUAAUCAGAAAGCCACGGCUAACUACGUG